CUUGAGGCAGGGGGUAGAGGAACUUAGUAAACCCGGUGUGGCUGAUGUCCCAUAAUGGAGGUUUAGAAACACAGCAAUGAAAUUAGAGACCAGUACCCACCCAAAGAGAAUGGGAAUCCCGUGAUUCCCCAGAAAGUAAUAAUGUAGAAAUGCUUUGAGAUUAUUCCGUAUUAAAUGAAAAAGUUGACGUCUUUGCCCGUACCGGAGAAUUGAAGUAAUAUUUAGGAUUCUCACAGGGACCUAGAUACCUUUGAAAUGGGGGUUGGUGAGAGACUAGCCUUAAAAAAGGGCGAGUGUGACCCUGGUCCAAACCAUGGAGAGCAAAAUGGACUCAUUACAUCUUUGGCAAAUGCACUGGACUUUUAUAAUUUGAGGUAUCAAAGACUUCAAUUACCCCAUGAGCUUGGCUGCUACUACUCAUCCUCCUCUUCAAGUCAACAGAAGGAAGCUAACCAGUGAGAACGCAGGCCUCUGAUGACAAGGAGGAGAAAAUCAUGAAGAAGCUACUGCCUUGAAGAGCCUGAGAACCACUGGCCACAGGGAGAAGAGAGGACUCAGGUCCAGUCCUGUCUUAUCCUUUUGGUUCCUCAUCUCUAGGGCUGAUACCAAGUGCUUUGACUCAUGGAAUAACUUGCUGCUGUGGACCACCAGUAUUAGCGGAUAUGUAGGUUAUAGGUUCUGAUUGGUUUAACAUGAUAUGUAAAGUUGCAAAUCAAAACACAACUUUGGUCUAGAUUGUAACUCAGGAGAGUUACUAAUGUUUUGAUUAGAUCUCAGACUCAUGCACAUGCAGGGCUCAUUA
Long non-coding RNA from Mustela erminea (ermine), 802 nucleotides. RefSeq lists it as uncharacterized. Lineage: Eukaryota; Metazoa; Chordata; Mammalia; Carnivora; Mustelidae. The record is from RefSeq and is a predicted model, not a curated record. The transcript has 3 exons.